UCAGGCCCACACAUUUUUCUAUCUUAUGGAUUAAACCUAUUAGUCUCUCUUCCGCGCUGUCAAGACGCUCCAUCUCCACCGGUUGCUCUUCUCCUUAACUCACGAUCCAUGCUGUUUCACCAUUUGAUGCGAAAUGAAGUCUUCCAUCGGAUCUGCUGAUUCUGGCGACGUUCUUGUCGUUCAUUACAGCAGACACGGGACGAGGUUGCCCACUGAGACUGGUGAAGACGAUGAUACGGUCUACGACGAGUGUAUUGUUCCUUGCACGUGAAUUUAGAGGAGAAUCGAGAAGCAACCCAACACUAAUCGAUGGUCAAUGAUUCAAUCUCUCUUUCGAUGCUCCAAUCUCUUUCUAUUGAUGGUUUCCGACAAUGAAUCCCCAGAAAAAAUCUUAUUUAGAUGAUUUUGUACUUGUGGACAAAAUUUGCCUCAAGGAUUACAAGUUUGUGUGUGGUGAUGUUGUAGUGUUCAGAUAUGUUCCUUAUGCCAAACCACGUUUGAGUCAUCUUUUGACAAGAACUAUAUAAUGAGUUUUAGUUGAUUACAUAUGAUGGAUAUGAUGAUGUGGUAUGACCUCCCAAAGAGUUAGCAAGAUUGGUCGAUAAAGCUAAUUGAGAAGAAGAAGGAGAAUGACAUGGUGUGGCAAACGACUUCUCUUUACCAUUUGGUUCACACUGCUGCUCUUCUCUCUGCACCUAGCACCAAAUAUCCCAACCUUGUAAACUUUCUCUUGUGUGUCAUGUUUCUUGCUUGAAGUUCAAGCUGCUUCUUCUUCCUUUUUUAAAGCGAGUUAAAAAAAAAAAAAAAAUUAAGAACUUUACCAUUGGAGGUAUAUUUUUCAGUUGUAUCUUAAUGGUUCAUUUCCUUUGUCAGAUCUGUUGCAGGAUUUAGAACAGUUGAAGCUAAACCAGACAUAUGAAAGAACCAUAUACUAGCAGCAAAUUCAUAACAUUUCUACAAAGAGAACCUACAGCAGGUGGAGAUUGAGCUUCAAGCCCAAUGAUUACAAUGGAAUCAAGAGAAGGACAGAGAGCUUCAUGCGAUUAAACUACAAAGAGGGCAUUGUUGGAUUCGACGUUGGGUUAGCAGCAAUGGGAAAUCGAGCAGGAGGAACCUAUGAGCUGUAAGUGUAUCGAGGCAUGUAAGAAGGUGAGGAUGGAGAUUUGAAUGUAUCUUUUUUAUAUAAAAAGCUAUUUUCUGUAUUUAUUUGAGUAUUUGACUAUGAUAUGUUGUGUUCUAUAUAAUAUUGAGAAUCGAAUGUUGCAGUAAACAAUCUGAUUUAUAGUUUUUAUUUUUCUUUUUGUUCCUUUUACUGUUUUUGGGAUAGUGCUGCUUUGUAGGGUGAAUCUGGAAGCUACUGUUUUUGGGAUAGUGACGCUUACUUUAAGUUACAGAUAUUGAGAACCAGUGGUGAGUGAGCAAGAACCCAAAAGAGAGAGCUGAAGAGAUUAAGAGAGAAGAGGAGCAUUUUGUCUAAGACAGAGUAGUUGAUGUUUUUGUAUAUAAGAUUUCGUUUGGAUUAGUUUUUUUUGUAAAAAAUAUGUUUUAAAUGUAUUUUUAUGAAAUAAUAUAUAUAUUUAAAUA
Non-coding RNA from Camelina sativa (false flax), 1584 nucleotides. The record is from RefSeq and is a predicted model, not a curated record. Lineage: Eukaryota; Viridiplantae; Streptophyta; Magnoliopsida; Brassicales; Brassicaceae.